CUGAAUUAUAUAAAAGAUGAAAAAUCUAAGAGCACCAAAUUUCAUGGGCUUAUCAAAAAGCAAUAGAUACAUUUGCUCAUAAUCGUUUUAAAAAAACUUCAUUAUCAUAUAAUUGGUGGCGCAAGUGGUGAUCAAGAAAUCAAAAUGAAUUAGUGUUCAUGAUUUGGACAUAAGAAUACUAUACCUUUCUGCAAAUUGACAAUAAUAAAAUUAUUCAGAAGGAUCAAAAUAAGAUACUUUGCUGAAGAAACCACACCUCUAAAAUGAAAUAUGAUGUCCCGUGCAUUGACCUAAAGAUAGGUAAAGGUAAACAGGAUCUUAUAUAAAAAAUGUUUAGAGUCCAUCAAUUACAUCGUCAUGUAAUCGUGCUGAUGAAGGGGCAUUGGACGAAUUGAGAACACUGGCAAUGUGCUUCAGGGAUGAUAAUGAUUUAUGCUCAGAAUUCUUGAUUUUCCAAUCUCAACUUACACCAUAGAAUCAUAGAUAAAAGAAGAGUAAGUGACUUACACAAUACAGUUAUUCCGCCC
Ctenocephalides felis (cat flea) is the source of this 527-nucleotide long non-coding RNA. RefSeq lists it as uncharacterized. The record is from RefSeq and is a predicted model, not a curated record. Lineage: Eukaryota; Metazoa; Arthropoda; Insecta; Siphonaptera; Pulicidae. The transcript is spliced from 4 exons.